AUUUCCACCUCUAUGUCUGCAGUAACUUGGGCAAUGUCGUCUUCCUUCUUCUUCAUGUUGCGCUUCUUUUCAGGUUCCACGAAACCACCUUCGAUGAAACCCCCUAGGGAGCGGAACUUGAGAUGUCGGUGUCGUAGUAGACCAUCUAUGUCCAUUUGUGCAAGCUCCUCCAUGGCCUUAGUGACAGUAUGCUUUAUCUGUUGAGAAGUCCAGGUAGGAUCAGUGUGCG
Molecule: unclassified non-coding RNA, 229 nt
Filed under: Hevea brasiliensis (rubber tree)
Lineage: Eukaryota; Viridiplantae; Streptophyta; Magnoliopsida; Malpighiales; Euphorbiaceae
Source: RNAcentral